Molecule: ribosomal RNA, 501 nt
Filed under: uncultured bacterium
Lineage: Bacteria
Description: bacterial SSU rRNA
Rfam family: Bacterial small subunit ribosomal RNA
Source: RNAcentral
GAUGAACGCUGGCGGCGUGCCUCAAACAUGCAAGUCGAGCGAGGCUAUGAAUUACCGCAAGGUAAGGCAUAGCCUAGCGGCGAACGGGUGAGUAACACGUGGGUAACCUACCUGGAAGACAGGGAUAACGAUUCGAAAGGGUCGCUAAUACCUGAUAAUAUCCAUCUGCCGGAUGGCGGAGGGAAGAAAGGGGAAACCCGCUUUCAGAUGGGCCCGCGUCCCAUCAGCUAGUUGGUAAGGUAAAGGCUUACCAAGGCGACGACGGGUAGCCGGUCUGAGAGGAUGUACGGCCACACUGGGACUGAGAUACGGCCCAGACUCCUACGGGAGGCAGCAGUUGGGAAUCUUAGGCAAUGGGCAAAGCCUGAUGGAGCGACGCCGCGUGAGCGAAGAAGGCCUUCGGGUUGUAAAGCUCUGUCUGGAGGGACGAAGGAAGUGACGGUACCUCCGGAGGAAGCCACGGCUAACUACGUGCCAGCAGCCGCGGUAAGAUCACGUGUA